CCCUAUGGGGCGCAGUAGGCCAUCGAUACCGCAUCUGAAGGCGAUCAGAUCGUUAUUUCGGAGGGUAUUUAUGCUGAAAAUAUCACCAUUCCGAAUAGGUCAAUCACUUUACAGGGAUUGAAUCCAAACAACUGGCAAAUGGUUGAGGAUACGGUGAUCCAAUCUGCUGAUCCCAAUUAUCCAGCAUUGUUGAUACUUGCCGCGGCAGAUAAGUCGAUUCGUAUUUCUGGGCUUGCAAUUGUGCAGGGAUAUACAGGUGUUUCAAUUUACAAUGGAGCAGCAUCCAUCUUUGAGAAUUGUGUGAUAAAGGACAAUUACUGUCAUGGUAUUGAAAGCUUUUACGGGUCGCCUGUUUUUCGAUCUUGUCAAAUUGUCGAUAAUGCAGGAAUUGGCGGGAGGGC
This 401-nucleotide ribosomal RNA is filed under the name uncultured prokaryote. RNAcentral's name for it is "partial 16S ribosomal RNA". The record is from RNAcentral.